Molecule: ribosomal RNA, 493 nt
Filed under: uncultured bacterium
Lineage: Bacteria
Description: partial 16S ribosomal RNA
Rfam family: Bacterial small subunit ribosomal RNA
Source: RNAcentral
GAUGAACGCUGGCGGCGUGCCUAAUACAUGCAAGUCGAACGCUGAAGGAGGAGCUUGCUCUUCUGGAUGAGUUGCGAACGGGUGAGUAACGCGUAGGUAACCUGCCUGGUAGCGGGGGAUAACUAUUGGAAACGAUAGCUAAUACCGCAUGACAACAGUUAUUGCAUGAUAACUGUUAAAAAGGGGCAACUGUUCUACUACCAGAUGGUCCGGCGUUGUAUUAGCUAGUGGUUGAGGUAAUGGCUCACCACGGCGACGAUACAUAGCCGACCUGAGGGGGGAACCGGCCACACGGGACCGAGAACACGUCCCGGCUCCCUAGGGAGGGCAGCAUAGGGAAAUCUUCGGCAAGGGACGGAAGUCUGACCGAGCAACGCCGCUUGGGUGAAGAAGGUUUUCGGAUCUUAAAGCUCUGUUGUAAGAGAAAAACAAGUGUGAGAGUAGAAAGUACACACUGAGACGACAUCUUACCAGAGAGAGACGUCUAACUACG